GUAGCCUGAUAUUGAAAUUCGGUACAGUUUGUACAGGAUAGGUAGGAGCCUUAGAAGCGUGAGCGCUAGCUUACGUGGAGGCAUUGGUGGGAUACUACCCUAAUUGUAUUGGAUUUCUAACCCGCAGCACUUAUCGUGCUGGGAGACAGUGUCAGGCGGGCAGUUUGACUGGGGCGGUCGCCUCCUAAAGAGUAACGGAGGCGCUCAAAGGUUCCCUCAGAAUGGUUGGAAAUCAUUCAUAGAGUGUAAAGGCAUAAGGGAGCUUGACUGCGAGACCUACAAGUCGAGCAGGGUCGAAAGACGGACUUAGUGAUCCGGUGGUUCCGCAUGGAAGGGCCAUCGCUCAACGGAUAAAAGCUACCCCGGGGAUAACAGGCUUAUCUCCCCCAAGAGUUCACAUCGACGGGGAGGUUUGGCACCUCGAUGUCGGCUCAUCGCAUCCUGGGGCUGUAGUCGGUCCCAAGGGUUGGGCUGUUCGCCCAUUAAAGCGGUACGCGAGCUGGGUUCAGAACGUCGUGAGACAGUUCGGUCCCUAUCCGUCGUGGGCGUAGGAAAUUUGAGAGGAGCUGUCCUUAGUACGAGAGGACCGGGAUGGACAUACCUCUGGUGUACCAGUUGUCGUGCCAACGGCAUAGCUGGGUAGCUAUGUAUGGACGGGAUAAGUGCUGAAAGCAUCUAAGCAUGAAGCCCCCCUCGAGAUGAGAUUUCCCAACUUC
Molecule: ribosomal RNA, 716 nt
Filed under: Staphylococcus pseudintermedius
Lineage: Bacteria; Bacillati; Bacillota; Bacilli; Caryophanales; Staphylococcaceae
Description: partial 23S ribosomal RNA
Rfam family: Bacterial large subunit ribosomal RNA
Source: RNAcentral